Molecule: ribosomal RNA, 254 nt
Filed under: uncultured bacterium
Lineage: Bacteria
Description: partial 16S ribosomal RNA
Rfam family: Bacterial small subunit ribosomal RNA
Source: RNAcentral
UACGUAGGGGGCUAGCGUUGUCCGGAUUUAUUGGGCGUAAAGAGCUCGUAGGCGGCUCGGUAAGUUGGGUGUGAAACCUCCAGGCUCAACCUGGAGACGCCACCCGAUACUGCCGUGGCUUGAGUCCGGUAGGGGAUCACGGAAUACCUGGUGUAGCGGUGAAAUGCGCAGAUAUCAGGUGGAACACCGAUGGCGAAGGCAGCUCGCUGGGACGGUACUGACGCUGAGGCGCGAAAGCGUGGGGAGCAAACAGG